UGGGGAAUAUUGCACAAUGGGCGCAAGCCUGAUGCAGCCAUGCCGCGUGUGUGAAGAAGGCCUUCGGGUUGUAAAGCACUUUCAGCGAGGAGGAAGGUGGUGGACUUAAUACGUUCAUCAAUUGACGUUACUCGCAGAAGAAGCACCGGCUAACUCCGUGCCAGCAGCCGCGGUAAUACGGAGGGUGCAAGCGUUAAUCGGAAUUACUGGGCGUAAAGCGCACGCAGGCGGUUUGUUAAGUCAGAUGUGAAAUCCCCGGGCUCAACCUGGGAACUGCAUUUGAAACUGGCAAGCUAGAGUCUCGUAGAGGGGGGUAGAAUUCCAGGUGUAGCGGUGAAAUGCGUAGAGAUCUGGAGGAAUACCGGUGGCGAAGGCGGCCCCCUGGACGAAGACUGACGCUCAGGUGCGAAAGCGUGGGGAGCAAACAGAUUAGAUACCCUGGUAGUCCACGCUGUAAACGAUGUCGAUUUGGAGGUUGUGCCCUUGAGGCGUGGNUUCCGGAGCUAACGCGUUAAAUCGACCGCCUGGGGAG
RNAcentral lists this ribosomal RNA (532 nucleotides) under uncultured bacterium. RNAcentral's name for it is "partial 16S ribosomal RNA". It matches the Rfam family "Bacterial small subunit ribosomal RNA", at positions 355 to 880 of the family's 1533-position model. The record is from RNAcentral.